GGCACGCGGGCCACGGCGGCGAGCUCGGCGUCGCCGGCGCCGGCCAGCUCGGCCUGGAUCGCGGCCAGGGUGUGCCCC
RNAcentral lists this transfer RNA (78 nucleotides) under Actinoplanes nipponensis. Its description in RNAcentral is "tRNA-Gly". The record is from RNAcentral. Lineage: Bacteria; Bacillati; Actinomycetota; Actinomycetes; Micromonosporales; Micromonosporaceae.